UUUGUGCAAAGCAAUUUUCCAUUACAGGAGAACUGAACAGAAGUUGAAACGCGAGGCCCAGUGCCCUGAUGCUGGCUUGGUGGCUCUGCCUCUUGCUCAGUCCGGAGUGCUGUUGGAAGCUUGCCCACUUGGCGGCUUUGAAAGGUCUCACCCUUCCCCUGCCUUUGUAAGUGAAGGGGAGCCAGGGGAGAGCCACAUGACAAUGAGGUCGCCAGUUGACACUUUUGUGAUGUCAGCAGCCUCAGGAGACUGCCAGGCAGAAGGAAAGGCUUCUCAGCUCUUCUGGGAGUUUGGGGGUGUUUUGUGUAUGUAGGUGUUCAUAUCUAAAGAAGUAUGAGAGCCACUUAGGACAUACAGUUCACCCCAGACUUUGAUGUUGCCCAGCCCUUCUCCAACAGAGUCCUCUCAGGGAGCCUGGGACCGUGGGGCGGUGCCGAGAAAAGCAGGUGAAAACAAGUAAGGAUCAAGAUGAAACUCCUUCUCCACUCUCAGCUCCUUCUCCAGUACCAUGUCUGCCUGCAUGCCACCAUGUCCUGCUAUGAUGAUAAUGGACCAAAACUCUGGAACUGUGCUUACAUUUGAAUAACCUGCAUAUGGAUUUCAAUGUUAUUUAACUGAGUUUUACCUGUAAGAUGUGUAUUUAAUACUCAGAGAAAACUCUUGUUCUCUCUGAGGAUAAACAGGAAAUUCAUUUAAUUAAAUAUUCAGAGCCACCAGAUCUACCUAGACCCAGAUACCUAUUCAUCUGUUAGCUGCGAGGAGAGGAAAAGCAUCUCCUCCGGGGAGCUUCUUCAUGGCUCCCUGCCUCUGCUCAGCGGGCAGUGAAUCACUGCUGUCAUGUAUGCUGAGUCUAUGCGCGACAAUGUCGACAGAGCCCAUAGUCCACCAAGGCUGUGCUGCUGCAGGCCCUUUCAAGUUUGGACCUCCCUUCUCCAUCUCACUGUUUCCCUCCAAAGGUGAUUGCUCGCUGCUCUGACCUUAUUAGCUGUCCUUCACCGUUGUCUCUCUGUAUCCUCUGCUGGUUCCACACAUUCUAAUCAUAAGACCCACUUCAAACUCUGUAUCUAGUUCAAUGCCCGGUCUUCUUGGAGCCUUCUAUACGUCAUUACCUUAAGCUUCCUUAAACUUUUUACUUUCACAGAAAUUCUCACCACAGUGUGUUAUAGUCAUAAAUCUCUCCCAUUAGAGCAUGGCCACCUUGAGGUUUGGAUACCUUUUAAAAACUUAAUAAUCAUGUACUAUGCCUGGCUCAUAUAGCUCUUUUUAAUUUGGGGGGAUUUACUUAUUUUUAUUUUAUGUGUAUGGGUAUUUUGCUUGCAUGCAUAUCUGUGUACCACAUGUUUGCCAGACAAGGACAUUGAAUGCCCCGGAACUGGAAUUACAGACAGCGGUUAGCCACUGUGUGGGUGCUGGGGAUCAAACCUGGGUCCUCUGGAAGAGCAGUCAGUGCUUUUAACCACCAAACCAUCUCUCAAGCCAACCCAUAUAGUUCUUAUAUAUAACUUAAAGGAAAUUAAGUUAACAACAUCAUAUAAACAUAUAACAGUACACAUUAUGUCAAAGUGAUUUAUUACUUGUGUGCAGAUAUGUACGAGAAUGUGUGUGGUAUAUAUGUGGUGGCGGGAGUUACCUACCCAUGUUUACCUGUAGAGACCAGUGAAGGAAGGACAUUGGUGUUCUGGUCUGUCACUCCCUGCCUCUUCUCUGGCUUUCUUCUACAUCCCUCAGAAACCUGGAGUUAAGGGGUGUAUUUGUUUGCUUUUUCUUGCUGUGAUAAAUGCCAUGACCAAAAGCAGCUUGGGGAAGGAAAGGUUACAUUUCCAUGUCCACGGUGAGUCAUCAAGAGAAGCCAGGUGAGGAACUCAAGGUAGGAACCAAUAUAGGGACCAUUGAAAAAUGCUGCUUGCUCCCCCAUGGCUUUUUUCGUG
Molecule: long non-coding RNA, 1928 nt
Organism: Peromyscus eremicus (cactus mouse)
Lineage: Eukaryota; Metazoa; Chordata; Mammalia; Rodentia; Cricetidae
Exons: 5
Source: RefSeq, a predicted model, not a curated record